This 446-nucleotide ribosomal RNA is filed under the name uncultured bacterium. Its description in RNAcentral is "SSU rRNA". It matches the Rfam family "Bacterial small subunit ribosomal RNA", at positions 26 to 518 of the family's 1533-position model. The record is from RNAcentral.
AGAGCGAACGCUGGCGGCAGGCUUAACACAUGCAAGUCGAGCGCCCGUAGCAAUACGGGAGCGGCAGACGGGAGAGUAACACGUGGGAACGCGCCCUUCGGUUCGGAAUAACUCAGGGAAACUUGAGCUAAUACCGAAUACGCCCUUACGGGGAAAGAUUUAUUGCCGAAGGAACGGCCCGCGUCGGAUUAGCUAGUUGGUGAGGUAACGGCUCACCAAGGCGACGAUCCGUAGCUGGUCUGAGAGGAUGACCAGCCUCACUGGGACUGAGACACGGCCCAGACUCCUACGGGAGGCAGCAGUGGGGAAUAUUGGACAAUGGGCGCAAGCCUGAUCCAGCCAUGCCGCGUGGAUGAUGAAGGCCUUAGGGUUGUAAAGUCCUUUUAACGGGAAGAUAAUGACGGUACCCGUAGAAUAAGCCCGGCUAACUUCGCGCCAGCAGCCGC